CCAGCACCCCGAAUGGUCGGGACGAUUAUUGGGCCUAAAGCAUCCGUAGCCGGUUUUACAAGUCCUCCGUUAAAUCCAACUGCUUAACAGAUGGGCCGCGGAGGAUACUAUAAGACUAGGAGGCAGGAGAGGCAAGCGGUACUCAGUGGGUAGGGGUAAAAUCCGUUGAUCCAUUGAAGACCACCAGUGGCGAAGGCGGCUUGCCAGAAUGCGCUCGACGGUGAGGGAUGAAAGCUGGGGGAGCAAACCGGAUUAGAUACCCGGGUAGUCCCAGCUGUAAACGAUGCAGACUCGGUGAUGGACUAGCUUUAUGCUAGUCCAGUGCCGCAGGGAAGCCGUUAAGUCUGCCGCCUGGGUAGUACGGUCGCAAGACUG
This 375-nucleotide ribosomal RNA is filed under the name uncultured organism. RNAcentral describes it as "bacterial SSU rRNA". It matches the Rfam family "Archaeal small subunit ribosomal RNA", at positions 476 to 851 of the family's 1478-position model. The record is from RNAcentral.